RNAcentral lists this ribosomal RNA (305 nucleotides) under uncultured bacterium. RNAcentral describes it as "bacterial SSU rRNA". It matches the Rfam family "Bacterial small subunit ribosomal RNA", at positions 335 to 639 of the family's 1533-position model. The record is from RNAcentral.
UACCUACGGGGCGCAGCAGUGAGGAAUAUUGGUCAAUGGGCGCGAGCCUGAACCAGCCAAGUCGCGUGAGGGAAGACGGUCCUAUGGAUUGUAAACCUCUUUUGUCAGGGAACAAAGGCGGGGACUAGUCCCCGGAUGAGGGUACCUGAAGAAAAAGCAUCGGCUAACUCCGUGCCAGCAGCCGCGGUAAUACGGAGGAUGCGAGCGUUAUCCGGAUUUAUUGGGUUUAAAGGGUGCGCAGGCGGCCUGUUAAGUCAGCGGUAAAAGCCCGGGGCUCAACCCCGGCGAGCCGUUGAAACUGGCGG